Molecule: ribosomal RNA, 253 nt
Filed under: uncultured bacterium
Lineage: Bacteria
Description: partial 16S ribosomal RNA
Rfam family: Bacterial small subunit ribosomal RNA
Source: RNAcentral
UACGAAGGGGGCUAGCGUUGCUCGGAAUGACUGGGCGUAAAGGGCGCGUAGGCGGAUGGCUUUGUCGGGCGUGAAAUUCCAGGGCUUAACCUUGGGGCUGCGUUCGAGACGGGUUGUCUUGAGUGGGGAAGAGGGUCGUGGAAUUCCCAGUGUAGAGGUGAAAUUCGUAGAUAUUCGCAAGAACACCAGUGGCGAAGGCGGCUCACUGGCCCGAUACUGACGCUGAGGCACGAAAGCGUGGGGAGCAAACAGG